GUCCUCCCCUCUUUGGACGAAAAGAAGAAAAUCUUUAUCGUAUUUGUAACACGAGUCCGUUUGCUAAUAGAGCGUAACAUUCAUGCGAGAUCGUACAACUGACGCGGUUUGCCCUGCCGUGGUAUGUGGGACAUCCUGAUCCCUCUCAGGUCCUGCUUUGGGAUAUAUGUAUUAACAUAAAAGAAAGUGCGGUCCAAACUACAUCAUGCAAGGCCAUUCGAUCUUCGACGCACGUUGCACCGUAAUUUUAUAGCGAAAGUAGAAAUUGUCUACUCGAUCUUGGGAAUUUUUUGCUACAAAUAUCCUUGUGUCGAACGUUCUCCAUGAAAAUAAUGAUCAUGUUAUUAGAAAACGGACUACAAUGUAUUGACAUUAAUUUCUACGCUGAUCCAUAAAAUUCUUUUUAAGAUUAUUGCCUCCGGUAUUAUUAGAUUUUGAUUUAUCUACGUUGCGAUAGUUCUAGAUACGUAGUAAUGUAUAGGCUAAGAGAGAAAUGGAGAUAUUAAAUAUCACGCAGAAUUAAGCGUGGAGACUCUGUUUGCUUCCAUACGUGAUUUUCUACCUUGCAAGCAGUUUUUUUUCGAACGCGACGAAUACACGUAAUCGUUCAUUGUAACACGAGAGCUCGAGUUCUUUCAUAAAACUGUCACUCUGUUACGACAAUUUACGAUUGUAUUUCAAAACGUCAGCGACAGAAUAUAGGAUCGUUGAACUCCGUUGAAAUAGGAAUAGCCAAGGUGAAGAACACUGUUUACUAUCUUUUCUUAUCAGAAUUAAUUUGAAUUAAUGUCUGUGAAUAUUUUUUUGUUAUUUUAAUAGUUAGCAGCAGUUACGCUUAUGCAUCAGAUUAAGAGCUAAUAUAUCGGAUACACAGGAUCAAAUUAAUUCACUAGGGAUUGUAACCUUUUUAUUUACGCCAGCUGCGGGAUGUGGCGGCCAUCUUGGAUCUUCUCGAUCAAGGGUACAAACGGUCCGAGACCGACGUAUGUGGGUGCUAACAAUGGUAACGCCGGUGGCGCCGGGGGC
This 1026-nucleotide unclassified non-coding RNA is filed under the name Megachile rotundata (alfalfa leafcutting bee). Its description in RNAcentral is "uncharacterized LOC105663359, transcript variant X4". Lineage: Eukaryota; Metazoa; Arthropoda; Insecta; Hymenoptera; Megachilidae. The record is from RNAcentral.